CACAUGUGAGAUGGAGAUUAAAUCCCAGGCAACAGACUGAAAACAUCUGUACUGGGUCAGGCUGGGAUGGAUUCCCGUUGCUCAUAGCACAGGGAUGGGACACAGCCAAGUUGCCAUAGCAGCACUCCAUACUUUGUCAAUCUCUCCACCCAAUUUUCUCACUUUUGCUCUUCCAGUUCCCUGCACCUGCCCCACUUUGGAGCGGGGGAUGGAGCUUGUUCUUCACACCCUUACAGGAAGGUAUGAGGAGUACCUCAGUGCCUUAUCCUACAAGUGUCCUGCCAACAGGGAGAGUUAUUCCUCUCCAUCAGCUGUGCCAGGGCUGGGGCUGCCUCCUGCCCUUCCUUCCUAGAUUGUUUUGCUUUGGAAAUUGAGGUGAAAGGUCAGUAGGGAAAGGUGUCUUCUGUCUGUCAGCCUGGAACGGGCUUGAGAUGUGUCCAAGGCACGCACCUAGAUUUGUCACUUUGUCCCACUUCUAUAAACACACAGUAGAACAGAGGUUUGGGAUUUAGAGGCUUGGAGGUCAAGGGUGACUUUGUUUUUUGGGGUGCUGAGCCCACACUGCACCCCAGAGUAAGACAUUCACCUUCUGGUAAGGCUUUCACCUUCUGGAAAGGAGGAAACAGAUCAUGGAAGUCGACACUGCAGGGAAAGGGCAGAGCAACCCUGGUCACACUCAUCUGGAGGCACUGCAAGGGGCAAGAUGAAGGCUGCGCCCAAGUCCUGUAGCACUUGAGGAGCAGGACAUUGCCAGAGGGCUUCCAAGAUGCUCCAGCCUCCCAAGGGUCAUGUGCAGCUCCCGCUGAAGUACCACCACUGCAGAGGCUGAAUGGGAUCAGGGAGAGCCCCUUGAACUUCACUGCACGGCCAGACCCAGCGAACUCAGCCCCAUCCACCUCCUGCUGCAGGGUCUCUGAUGGUUUUCCAGCCUCUGUGGAUCAUCUUCACAGACAUCCCUCUCACCAGGCAUUCCAGAACUGGAUGGAGCAUGCAGAUGUCACAGCCGGGGUGACAACAGCCAGGUGGCCCCUUGUCCCCUCCUGUGGCCCAGGCUGGGGCUCUCCAUCCUCGCAGGGAGAGCACAUUGUUGGAUCGUACCCAGUUUGGUGCCUGCCACCCUUCCCAGGUCCUUUCCAGUACGGCUGUUGUGCCACAGCUCCUGUCAGUGUCCCCGUGCCCUGCCCUCAUCCAGGGCCACCUGCCACCAGCACAUUCUUCAGGACACAAGCAGAUGGUGGUGACAAUCCCCUGCCCAGCCAGGCAGAAGUACAACCCCACGGGUCCUCUGGGAGACAGCAGAAUCCAGAAAGAGGGAUCUACAGCAGGCAGGGAACAGG
Molecule: long non-coding RNA, 1337 nt
Filed under: Ficedula albicollis (Collared flycatcher)
Lineage: Eukaryota; Metazoa; Chordata; Aves; Passeriformes; Muscicapidae
Description: lncRNA (ENSFALG00000028808.1)
Source: RNAcentral